AGUGAACGCUGGCGGUAGGCCUAACACAUGCAAGUCGAACGGCAGCACAGUAAGAGCUUGCUCUUACGGGUGGGGAGUGGCGGACGGGUGAGGAAUACAUCGGAAUCUACUUUUUCGUGGGGGAUAACGUAGGGAAACUUACGCUAAUACGGCAUACGACCUACGGGUGAAAGCAGGGGAUCUUCGGACCUUGCGCGAGUGAACGAGCCUAUGUCGGAUUAGCUAGUUGGCGGGGUAAAGGCGCACCAAGGCGAAGAUCCGUAGCGGGUCUGAGAGGAUGAUCCGCCACACUGGAACUUAGACACGCUCCAGACCCCUACGGGAGGCCGCAGUGGGGAGUAUUGGACAAUGGGCGCAUGCCUGAUCCAGCCCUACUGCGUGGGUGAAGGAGGCCUUCUGGUUGUAGAGCCCUUUUGUUUGGAAAGAACAGCAGCAGGUUAAUACCCCGCUGUUCUGACGGUACCCAAAGAAUAAGCACCGGCUAACUUCGUG
Molecule: ribosomal RNA, 492 nt
Filed under: uncultured bacterium
Lineage: Bacteria
Description: partial 16S ribosomal RNA
Rfam family: Bacterial small subunit ribosomal RNA
Source: RNAcentral